Molecule: non-coding RNA, 95 nt
Organism: Fomitiporia mediterranea MF3/22
Lineage: Eukaryota; Fungi; Basidiomycota; Agaricomycetes; Hymenochaetales; Hymenochaetaceae
Source: the annotation of a RefSeq genome assembly
UCCCGCUUAGCUCAGUGGUAGAGCGCAUCACUAGUAUACACUCCGGUCUAUUGUGUGCUAUGAUGAGGUCAGUCGUUCAAGUCGGCUAGUGGGAA